Aethina tumida (small hive beetle) is the source of this 444-nucleotide long non-coding RNA. RefSeq lists it as uncharacterized. NCBI's taxonomy places the organism in Eukaryota, Metazoa, Arthropoda, Insecta, Coleoptera, Nitidulidae. The record is from RefSeq and is a predicted model, not a curated record. The transcript is spliced from 4 exons.
CUGCAAGUGACUUCAAUUUACAAUGAAAACGUGAUCUCUUCGAGGCAUGGAAGAUUUUGGCCUGUUGGUUUCGUACGAUUCGCUAAUUCAAUUUGUUCAACUUUGGAAGGGUUGGAAGGUAUUUGUUAUACCCGAGACCAAUGCAAUGGUAUAAAAGGAGGAGUCAUUUCUGGGACUUGUGCUAAUGGAAUUGGCAGAUGUUGUUUAGUACAAAAAACAUGUGGGACCACUUCGUCCUACAAUAAUACUUAUUUUGUUAGCUCCAACUACCCCAAUGGUAACACAGCUCCAACACAAUGUGUCCAUACAAUCAGAAAAUGCAACUCAGGGAUUUGUCAAAUACGUUUAGACUUUUUGGCAUUAUCGCUGGAACAGCCAGAUGGAAACGGUAAUUGCAUAACUGAUUCAUUUCAAGUGGUUGGAGGUGCGUCCACUGUUCCUACA